AUACUUACCUGGCAGGGGAGACACCUUGAUCAUGAAGGAGGUUUUCCCAGGGUGAGGCUCAGCCAUUGCACUCUGGCUGUGCUGACACCUGUGAUUUCUCCAAAUGCAGGAAAUUCGACUGUAUACUUUGUGGUAGUGAGGGACUACAUGCACGCUUU
This 158-nucleotide small nuclear RNA is filed under the name Salvator merianae (Argentine black and white tegu). RNAcentral describes it as "U1 spliceosomal RNA (ENSSMRG00000018349.1)". It matches the Rfam family "U1 spliceosomal RNA". Rfam says of the family: U1 is a small nuclear RNA (snRNA) component of the spliceosome (involved in pre-mRNA splicing). The record is from RNAcentral. Lineage: Eukaryota; Metazoa; Chordata; Lepidosauria; Squamata; Teiidae.